Long non-coding RNA from Mus musculus (house mouse), 889 nucleotides. RefSeq annotates it as predicted gene, 40750. The transcript is spliced from 3 exons. The record is from RefSeq and is a predicted model, not a curated record. NCBI's taxonomy places the organism in Eukaryota, Metazoa, Chordata, Mammalia, Rodentia, Muridae.
GGAGACAGAGAUCCUCAGAUUUCAGUUCAGCUGCAAAGUCACAUUCUACAGCAUCGGAGAGCGGAGGGAUCAUCGCAAGUGUAUCACAGUCUGAUAGCAGCAUCCUUGCUCCAUUCCUGCAAAUUAGAACCCAAAACGUCUCCUGACAUGGUCGACUGUUGCCAAUGGAGGCAGGUUCCCAAUGAAGGCAGGACUCAAACAAUGGAGACGAGGAAAAGCUGACUAAUAUGUGUUAAGUCACAGAAUUCAGGGCAAAGGAAAACUUUAAUUACCGAGUAAUGUAUAACUCAGAUCACCACCGGUGUCAAUCAUUAAUGGCCAUUGCAAGAGGAACCAGGGUAGCAAAGGGAUUUAGUGUCGUAACUGAUCCAUCACUAGGGGGAUGGCUCCUUCUCCACUGACAAUGAACAAGAUUGUUGAGUGCUAAUUUACUACAAGAAAGUCUGAUUUCACAGCCCUGGGACUUCUUUUCUCCUCCCCAAGGCCAAUCGGAACCCUUAAGUUUUACAAUGCAUUGUAUCGUCAGACAAUAGUCUUGAAUCAUAACAAUCCGGGGAAUAGCUCUUUCUACUAAUGCUAAGAUCACACAGUGGUUCCCAUAGGGGUCAGAAGACCAGCCUUUUCUCUGCGCUGAGAUUUGUUGUGACAACUACAUAAAGAUCAUGACUAGAGUGCUGCCGUCACCUUCCUUAGUGAGCAGCAAAGGAUCCCGGUCCACCACACCACCAUGUUUACGCUCUGAUGAGACCCUGGAUGGGAACACAGAGGACGCUCUGCAAGAGAGUGUGCAUCUGAAUCAGCCCACACCUCUAACGGGCAAGGGUCUGAAUUCUGAAGCAAACAACGAGUAACUUGGGCUGCCUUCUGUUGCAAAGGACAGGAGCCUAUC